Non-coding RNA from Potamilus streckersoni, 72 nucleotides. Lineage: Eukaryota; Metazoa; Mollusca; Bivalvia; Unionida; Unionidae. The record is from the annotation of a GenBank genome assembly.
UCUGUUGGUCAAGUGGUUAGAGCAUCCGCCUCAGAUGUAGGAGGUCGUGGGUUUGAACCCCAGCCCAGUCAA